GAUGAAGAACGUAGUGAAAUGCGAUAAGUAGUGUGAAUUGCAGAAUUCAGUGAAUCAUCGAAUCUUUGAACGCACAUUGCGCCCUUUGGUAUUCCUUAGGGCAUGCCUGUUCGAGCGUCAUUUAAACCUUCAAGCUCAGCUUGGUGUUGGGUGACUGUCCGCCGCCUCCGGGCGCGUGGACUCGCCUCAAAAUUAUUGGCGGCCGGUACAUUGGCUUCGAGCGCAGCAGAAACGCGAACUCGGGCCCGUCGUAUUGGCUCCCAGAAGCUAUCUUCACAAUUUUGACCUCGGAUCAGGUAGGGAUACCCGCUGAACUUAAGCAUAUCAAUAAGCGGAGGA
Molecule: unclassified non-coding RNA, 339 nt
Filed under: soil metagenome
Description: partial contains 5.8S ribosomal RNA, internal transcribed spacer 2, and large subunit ribosomal RNA
Rfam family: 5.8S ribosomal RNA (bases 1-120)
Source: RNAcentral